This 415-nucleotide ribosomal RNA is filed under the name uncultured crenarchaeote. Its description in RNAcentral is "partial 16S ribosomal RNA". It matches the Rfam family "Archaeal small subunit ribosomal RNA", at positions 330 to 747 of the family's 1478-position model. Lineage: Archaea; Thermoproteati; Thermoproteota. The record is from RNAcentral.
GCGCAGCAGUCGCGAAACCUUUGCAAUACACGCAAGUGUGACAGGGUCAUCCCGAGUGCCGACCGCUGAGGUUGGCUUUUACCCAGUCUAGAAAGCUGGGGGAAUAAGGAGAGGGCAAGUCUGGUGUCAGCCGCCGCGGUAAUACCAGCUCUCCGAGUGGUGUGGACGUUUAUUGGGCCUAAAGCAUCCGUAGCUGGCUGAACAAGUCCCCUGUUAAACCCACCGAUUUAAUCGUUGGCUUGCGGGGGAUACUGCUCGGCUAGGGGACGAGAGAGGCAGACGGUAUUCCCGGGGUAGGGGUGAAAUCCUAUAAUCCCGAGAAGACCACCAGUGGCGAAGGCUGUCUGCUAGAACGCGCCCGACGGUGAGGGAUGAAAGCUGGGGGAGCGAACCGGAUUAGAUACCCCCGUAGUCC